This 505-nucleotide ribosomal RNA is filed under the name uncultured bacterium. RNAcentral's name for it is "partial 16S ribosomal RNA". It matches the Rfam family "Bacterial small subunit ribosomal RNA", at positions 30 to 523 of the family's 1533-position model. The record is from RNAcentral.
AUUGAACGCUGGCGGCAGGCCUAACACAUGCAAGUCGAACGGUAGCACAGAGAGCUUGCUCUCGGGUGACGAGUGGCGGACGGGUGAGUAAUGUCUGGGAAACUGCCCGAUGGAGGGGGAUAACUACUGGAAACGGUAGCUAAUACCGCAUAACGUCGCAAGACCAAAGUGGGGGACCUUCGGGCCUCACACCAUCGGAUGUGCCCAGAUGGGAUUAGCUAGUAGGUGGGGUAAUGGCUCACCUAGGCGACGAUCCCUAGCUGGUCUGAGAGGAUGACCAGCCACGCUGGAACUGGGCCACGGUCCAGACUCCUACGGGAGGCAGCAGUGGGGAAUAUUGCACAAUGGGCGCAAGCCUUAUGCAGCCAUGCCGCGUGUAUGAAGAAGGCCUUCGGGUUGUAAGGCACUUUAAGCGAGGAGGAGGCUCUUUUGGUUAAUACCCAAGAUGAGUGGACGUUACUCGCAGAAUAAGCACCGGCUAACUCUGUGCCAGCCGCCGCAGUAA